This is a long non-coding RNA of Gallus gallus (chicken), 1169 nucleotides long. Lineage: Eukaryota; Metazoa; Chordata; Aves; Galliformes; Phasianidae. The record is from Ensembl.
ACACGUUGGCGUUUGGGGAUGCCUUUAAGCUCAGUGCAUGACAUGGCAGUGCUGCUCAGGUAGCAGUGUGCAGCUGCUGUGCAGCUUUGGCUUUAGUGCUCCUCCAGCAGCUCUGAUCCGAGCACACUGCUAAAGGCCACGCUGUUACUGCCUGUGUGUGGAGCCUGGCUGCAGACUGCCAUGCAAGCUGCCGAAUGACCGUGGUGCUCGGGACGACAAGAGGAGAAGAUGAGUGAAGUGCUGGUGGAGGAGCCAGAUGGGAGAGGAAGAACGGCAGGCCAGGAGCAAGAAGGGACCCAAUGCUGGGUUGGAACCACCAGAAAGAGGAAGGGCUGUGAGCUGAACGCGGGCUGACCUGCACCAAGGAAGGGAAAGAAGCGGCGCAGUGCAGCGUUCCCCGGUGCCAGCGAGCUCUGUUGGCAGUGGGAUGUUGGGGAGAGGACGGUGAGAUCUCAGGGGUGUGCAGAUAUCAGCUGGCGUUGCCUCAGCCUUGGCUGCUGCAGCCUGAUCCCAAGGCUUGGCCUGAACCCUGCUGGAGGAUCCGAGUUCAGCCCAAAAGCACCGGGAGGAAGUACCAGAACUGUUCCCAGGCCACCCCUGCACCACGGCAGUGCCUGCAGCAGUGGGGGCUGGCCUGGCUCUCCAGCAUGGCGUUGUGCUUUGGGGGAAAGUUUCUGCAUCCCACUGCCGUAGGUGUGCUGGAGGCUGCAGCAAUCACAAGGAGGACUUAAUGAUCUUACGGGUCUCCUGCAACUGAAACAACUCUAUAACUCUGUGACUUCCCAGCACGUGCAUAUGGGGCUGCCAAGGGGCUGCUCAUGCUUGCAGGCACCAGGGGAGGUUGCAGGGGUUCCACAGGUUCAGCACAUCCAGAUUUCACCGGAGACCUGCCUUGGUUUGAGCAAAAGGACAGCUUGGCCCUUUCAGUAAGAAGUUACAGGCAUCUCCAGCGAGUUCUGUUCCUCACAGCCAUCUCCUCUCCGAUGCGAUAUGGGUUGGACACAUCCCUGCCAGGGUCCAGCCCCACUGCCCUGCCCCAGGGCAAAACGGUUUGGCUGGAGGAGUGUGGCUGCUCCUGGGGCUGGGGGAGUGGGGCUGCCCGAAGGAGCCCGGGGUGACGCUGGGGGAGAACGCUGCCCUGCGCACUAUGGGGGGUAGGAAGGCACAGG